UUAUAUGUAUUUGGUUACAAA
This 21-nucleotide small nuclear RNA is filed under the name Arabidopsis thaliana (thale cress). Its description in RNAcentral is "snRNA_16282". The record is from RNAcentral. Lineage: Eukaryota; Viridiplantae; Streptophyta; Magnoliopsida; Brassicales; Brassicaceae.